UCACGCGGGAUUCGAUUAGAGUUUGAUUCUGGCUCAGGAUGAACGCUGGCGGCGUGCCUAACACAUGCAAGUCGAACGAAGCACUAAACAUGAAGCCUUCGGGCGGAGCGAUUAGUGACUUAGUGGCGGAUGGGUGAGUAACGCGUGGGUAACCUGCCUUACACAGGGGGAUAACAACGGGAAACGGUUGCUAAAACCGCAUGAAGUAUGAACAUCGCAUGAUGAUCAUAUUAAAUAUUUAUAGGUGUAAGAUGGGCCCGCGUCUGAUAUGCUAGUUGGUGGGGUAAUAGCCUACCAAGGCGAUGAUCAGUAGCCGGCUUGAGAGAGUGACAGGCCACAUUGGGACUGAGACACGGCCCAAACUCCUACGGGAGGCAGCAGUGGGGAAUCUUGCACAAUGGGCGAAAGCCUGAUGCAGCGAGGCCGCGUGAGUGAAGACGUACUUCGGUAUGUAAAGCUCUAUCAGCAGGGACGAUA
RNAcentral lists this ribosomal RNA (477 nucleotides) under uncultured prokaryote. Its description in RNAcentral is "bacterial SSU rRNA". It matches the Rfam family "Bacterial small subunit ribosomal RNA", at positions 1 to 450 of the family's 1533-position model. The record is from RNAcentral.